This 71-nucleotide transfer RNA is filed under the name Cynoponticus ferox (Guinea pike conger). Its description in RNAcentral is "tRNA-Thr". It matches the Rfam family "tRNA". From Rfam's summary of the family: Transfer RNA (tRNA) molecules are approximately 80 nucleotides in length. Their secondary structure includes four short double-helical elements and three loops (D, anti-codon, and T loops). Further hydrogen bonds mediate the characteristic L-shaped molecular structure. tRNAs have two regions of fundamental functional importance: the anti-codon, which is responsible for specific mRNA codon recognition, and the 3' end, to which the tRNAs corresponding amino acid is attached (by aminoacyl-tRNA synthetases). tRNAs cope with the degeneracy of the genetic code in two manners: having more than one tRNA (with a specific anti-codon) for a particular amino acid; and 'wobble' base-pairing, i.e. permitting non-standard base-pairing at the 3rd anti-codon position. The record is from RNAcentral. Lineage: Eukaryota; Metazoa; Chordata; Actinopteri; Anguilliformes; Muraenesocidae.
GCCCUAGUAGUUUAACACAAAGCAUCGGUUUUGUAAUCCGAAGAUUGGAAAUUAAUACUUUUCCUAGCGCA